Molecule: ribosomal RNA, 372 nt
Filed under: uncultured bacterium
Lineage: Bacteria
Description: bacterial SSU rRNA
Rfam family: Bacterial small subunit ribosomal RNA
Source: RNAcentral
AUACGUAGGGGGCGAGCGUUGUCCGGAAUCACUGGGCGUAAAGGGUACGUAGGCGGCUAGGUAAGUCAGAUGUGAAAGGCAUGGGCUUAACCCAUGUAAGCAUUUGAAACUGCUUAGCUUGAGUCGAGGAGAGGAAGGCGGAAUUCCUGGUGUAGCGGUGAAAUGCGUAGAUAUCAGGAGGAACACCAGUGGCGAAGGCGGCCUUCUGGCCUUGGACUGACGCUGAGGUACGAAAGCGUGGGGAGCAAACAGGAUUAGAUACCCUGGUAGUCCACGCCGUAAACGAUGAGUGCUAGGUGUCGGGGAUUUAUCUUCGGUGCCGGAGUUAACACAUUAAGCACUCCGCCUGGGGAGUACGUUCGCAAGAAUGAA